UAUAAGUACACGCCUUAACAAGGUGAAACCGCGAACGGCUCAUUACAACAGCUAUAAUCUACUCGGUCUUGACCAGUUACUCGGAUAACUGUGGUAAUUCUAGAGCUAAUACGUGCACCGAUGCUGUUCCUUGCGGAGCAGUGCAUUUGUUGGAGCAAAACCAGGCGGCUUCGGCCGUUUUUGCUGACUCAGAACAACUUAGCUGAUCGCAUGGGCUUGUCCCGGCGACGCACCGUCCGAGUGUCUGCCUUAUCAACUUUCGAUGGUAGUGUACGUGACUACCAUGGUUGUGACGGGUAACGGAGGAUAAGGGUUCGACUCCGGAGAAGGGGCCUGAGAAAUGGCCACUACGUCUAAGGAUGGCAGCAGGCGCGCAAAUUACCCACUCUCGGUUCGAGGAGGUAGUGACGAAAAAUAACAAGGCUGUUCUCUACGAGGCCAGCCAUUGGAAUGGGUACAACACAAACCCUUUAACGAGUAUCAAUGAGAGGGCAAGUCUGGUGCCAGCAGCCGCGGUAAUUCCAGCUCUCAAAAUGCAUAGAACCAUUGCUGCGGUUAAAAAGCUCGUAGUUGGAUCUGUGCCGGCGACGUGGUCCACCCGAAAGGGCGGCACUGCGCUCGUCGGCUUUGGGCCGGUCUUCGUGCGGUCGCCUUCAUCGGUGGCCGUGCGUGGCUGGCUGGUUUACUUUGAGCAAAUCAGAGUGCUCAGCACAGGCGUUUCGCCGGAAUGUUCGUGCAUGGAAUAAUAGAAAAGGAUUUCGGUCCUCUUUUAUUGGUUUUGUGGACUGAGAUAAUGGUUAACAGAGACGAACGGGGGCAUUCGUAUUGCUGCGUGAGAGGUGAAAUUCUUGGACCGCAGCAGGACGGACUACAGCGAAAGCAUUUGCCAAGCGCGUCUUCAUUAAUCAAGAACGAAAGUCAGAGGUUCGAAGGCGAUCAGAUA
RNAcentral lists this ribosomal RNA (943 nucleotides) under Ogma seymouri. RNAcentral describes it as "SSU rRNA". It matches the Rfam family "Eukaryotic small subunit ribosomal RNA", at positions 58 to 1014 of the family's 1831-position model. The record is from RNAcentral. Lineage: Eukaryota; Metazoa; Nematoda; Chromadorea; Rhabditida; Criconematidae.